UACGUAGGGUGCAAGCGUUGUCCGGAUUUAUUGGGCGUAAAGAGCUCGUAGGCGGUUUGUCGCGUCGGAUGUGAAACCCAGGGCUCAAUCCUGGGCCUGCAUUCGAUACGGGCAGACUAGAGUAUGGGCAGGGGAGACUGGAAGUUCCUGGUGUAGCGGUGAAAUGACGCAGAUAUCAGGAGGAACACCGGUGGCGAAGGCGGGUCUCUGGGCCAAAACUGACGACUGGAGGAGCGGAAAGCCGUGGGGGAGCGAAACAGG
This 261-nucleotide ribosomal RNA is filed under the name uncultured bacterium. RNAcentral's name for it is "partial 16S ribosomal RNA". It matches the Rfam family "Bacterial small subunit ribosomal RNA", at positions 524 to 776 of the family's 1533-position model. The record is from RNAcentral.